UACGUAGGGGGCCAGCGUUGCUCGGAAUUACUGGGCGUAAAGGGUUCGUAGGUGGUGCGGCAAGUUGGAAGUGAAAUCUCUGGGCUUAACCCAGAGGCUGCUUUCAAAACUGCCGUGCUCGAGUGCGAGAGAGGCGAGUGGAAUUACGGGUGUAGCGGUGAAAUGCGUAGAUAUCCGUAGGAACAUCCGAGGCGAAGGCGGCUCGCUGGACCGCAACUGACGCUGAGGAACGAAAGCUAGGGGAGCAAACAGG
RNAcentral lists this ribosomal RNA (253 nucleotides) under uncultured bacterium. RNAcentral's name for it is "partial 16S ribosomal RNA". It matches the Rfam family "Bacterial small subunit ribosomal RNA", at positions 524 to 776 of the family's 1533-position model. The record is from RNAcentral.